UCCCAAGGAUGGAUGGGAUUGGAUGCAGU
Molecule: non-coding RNA, 29 nt
Filed under: Rattus norvegicus (Norway rat)
Lineage: Eukaryota; Metazoa; Chordata; Mammalia; Rodentia; Muridae
Source: RNAcentral